This 409-nucleotide ribosomal RNA is filed under the name uncultured bacterium. RNAcentral's name for it is "bacterial SSU rRNA". It matches the Rfam family "Bacterial small subunit ribosomal RNA", at positions 355 to 776 of the family's 1533-position model. The record is from RNAcentral.
UCGAGAAUCUUCCGCAAUGGACGAAAGUCUGACGGAGCGACACCGCGUGAUUGAUGAAGUCCCUCUGGGACGUAAAGAUCUUUUAUGAGGGAAGAAGUUUAUUGACGGUACCUCAUGAAUAAGGGGCUCCCAAUCUCGUGCCAGCAGGAGCGGUAAUACGAGAGCCUCAAGCGUUAUCCGGAAUUAUUGGGCGUAAAGGGUGUGUAGGUGGUUAUACUAGUCUCAUGUUAAAGACCCAAGCUCAACUUGGGGAUCGCGUGGGAAACGGUAUGACUAGAGAGUGUGAGGGGUUUGCGGAACUCAUGGUGUAGGGGUGAAAUCCGUUGAUAUCAUGGGGAACACCAAAAGCGAAAGCAGCAAACUGGCGCACAUCUGACACUGAAACACGAAAGCGUGGGUAGCGAAUGGG